GAUGAAGAACGUAGUGAAAUGCGAUAAGUAGUGUGAAUUGCAGAAUUCAGUGAAUCAUCGAAUCUUUGAACGCACAUUGCGCCCCUUGGUAUCCCGAGGGGCAUGCCUGUUCGAGCGUCAUUUCACCACUCAAGCCUGGCUUGGUGUUGGGCGACGUCCCCUUUGGGGACGCGCCUCGAAACGCUCGGCGGCGUGGCACCGGCUUUAAGCGUAGCAGAAUCUUUCGCUUUGGAAGUCGGGGCCCCGUCUGCCGGAAGACCUACUCGCAAGGUUGACCUCGGAUCAGGCAGGGAUACCCGCUGAACUUAAGCAUAUAAAAGCGGAGGA
This 327-nucleotide unclassified non-coding RNA is filed under the name soil metagenome. RNAcentral describes it as "partial contains 5.8S ribosomal RNA, internal transcribed spacer 2, and large subunit ribosomal RNA". The stretch from base 1 to 120 matches the Rfam family "5.8S ribosomal RNA", at positions 35 to 154 of the family's 154-position model. The record is from RNAcentral.